RNAcentral lists this ribosomal RNA (317 nucleotides) under Bacillus sp. AZHGF1. Its description in RNAcentral is "bacterial SSU rRNA". It matches the Rfam family "Bacterial small subunit ribosomal RNA", at positions 57 to 371 of the family's 1533-position model. Lineage: Bacteria; Bacillati; Bacillota; Bacilli; Caryophanales; Bacillaceae. The record is from RNAcentral.
GCAGUCGAGCGGACUUUAAAGCUUGCUUUUAAAGUUAGCGGCGGACGGGUGAGUAACACGCGGGCAACCUGCCUGUAAGACUGGGAUAACUUCGGGAAACCGGAUCUAAUACCGGAUAAUCCUUUUCCUCUCAUGAGGAAAAGCUGAAAGACGGUUUACGCUGUCACUUACAGAUGGGCCCGCGGCGCAUUAGCUAGUUGGUGAGGUAACGGCUCACCAAGGCGACGAUGCGUAGCCGACCUGAGAGGUGAUCGGCCACACUGGGACUGAGACCCGCCCAGACUCCUCCGGGAGGCAGCACUAGGGAUCUUCCGCAU